Molecule: small nuclear RNA, 105 nt
Organism: Suricata suricatta (meerkat)
Lineage: Eukaryota; Metazoa; Chordata; Mammalia; Carnivora; Herpestidae
Source: Ensembl
GUGCUCACUUUGGCAGCAUAUACACUGAAAUUGGAAUAAUACAGAGAAGAUUAGCAUGGUCCCUAGGCAAGGAUGACACGCUAUUGAGUAAAGUGCAUAAUUUCA